This 64-nucleotide ribosomal RNA is filed under the name Hymenobacter elongatus. RNAcentral's name for it is "partial 16S ribosomal RNA". The stretch from base 1 to 57 matches the Rfam family "Bacterial small subunit ribosomal RNA", at positions 1477 to 1533 of the family's 1533-position model. Lineage: Bacteria; Pseudomonadati; Bacteroidota; Cytophagia; Cytophagales; Hymenobacteraceae. The record is from RNAcentral.
GGGGCUAAGUCGUAACAAGGUAGCCGUACCGGAAGGUGCGGCUGGAUCACCUCCUUUCUGGAGC